UACGGAGGGGGCUAGCGUUGUUCGGAAUUACUGGGCGUAAAGCGCACGUAGGCGGCUUUGCAAGUUAGAGGUGAAAGCCCAGGGCUCAACCCUGGAAUUGCCUUUAAAACUGCAUCGCUAGAAUUGUGGAGAGGUAAGUGGAAUUCCGAGUGUAGAGGUGAAAUUCGUAGAUAUUCGGAAGAACACCAGUGGCGAAGGCGACUUACUGGACACAUAUUGACGCUGAGGUGCGAAAGCGUGGGGAGCAAACAGG
Molecule: ribosomal RNA, 253 nt
Filed under: uncultured bacterium
Lineage: Bacteria
Description: partial 16S ribosomal RNA
Rfam family: Bacterial small subunit ribosomal RNA
Source: RNAcentral